Molecule: long non-coding RNA, 2467 nt
Filed under: Cricetulus griseus (Chinese hamster)
Lineage: Eukaryota; Metazoa; Chordata; Mammalia; Rodentia; Cricetidae
Description: lncRNA (ENSCGRG00015035549.1)
Source: RNAcentral
AAUCAGACCAAGGCGGUUCCUUUGUGCUAUUCAAAUACCGAACGGACCCCGGGCCUCCAACGCCGCUGCUGCCUCGAAUGUUCUCCUGGGGCCGCGGCACCGCGUGGGACUCGGAGCUUCCUAGGUAGCCGCCCACAGCGUCGGUCGUCUCUCGGGAACCACGUUGAGGACUGCGGCUACCCUGGACCUGGCUCCCGCGAGCUGGGGGUCGGCUCACCUGAGCGCCGCGGAGAUGGCUCCGCCCCCUUCCGCACCGUUGGGCCUCACCUGCAGCAGGUGCGCGCGGUUCCCCGCUCCGGGCCACGCGGCGCCUCCUCUUUCUCACCUGCUAAGGCCAGGGGAAUCUGGGAGAGGAUCUUCAAGUGUGGAGGCCUCACCCCUUCACAUCGGCUGUCUCCUGGUCUCAACAUAGCUGGUGCUCCUUCGGGUCUCACAUUCAGGCAAAAUCAAAAGAGGGGGUUGUCACAGCAGCCUUCAGUGUCUCACUCUCAGUCUGCAGUCAUCGAUACCACUGCAAAAGAAGCUUCCAGUGGCAGCACGGAUCAUGGACUUCCACAUGGUUUCCAGUGGCAGCACAGACCACAGACGUCAAUGCAGUCUGUUGGUCGCAAGGGCCAUGGACAUCAACACGGUCUCCAUUGUCAGCAUGGACCGUGGAAGCCUUUGGGAGGAGACUAAUCCAGAAAAUGGACCACUCUUCCUCUUGAAUAUCCUGUUACUGCCAGAGUCAGGAUGAUUGUGAGGUUGGGCAUUGGUUGGGCAUUGUGUUUGGGGUGGCGGUGACGGGCAGGACUGAUGCAAGCUGAAGGCUGCUGAGACUACCCUGCCCUCUUCACUGGCUGCCCUGCUAGUAUCCGGGGUAUGAGCUUGCAGCCCAGCAACGCAAGCUCCUUUGUCUCUAGUCUGCUUCUCUCCACCAUGCGUGCCCUCCAUCCCACCACCUUGCCCAUGUCUCUGUCACACAUUCGUUUAUUAAGGUGGUACUUCAAUGGCUUGUGUGUCACAUAGUAUAUUAUUUUUCCCCAACAGCUUUACAUGCAAAUACUUACUGCAACAAAUCACUGACCUGGUUCAAGGUUUCUGAAGCAACAUAAAUACUGGAAUAUUGCUGAAACUCAUCUCGGAUAUCCUGUUGUUGCCCAGAGUCACAGUGAGCAGUGUGUCCAGGGCCAGGACCUGUGUGUGGUGACCUAUGCUUUCCUCCCCGAGGUGGUAGCAGCAGUGGCAGUGGCUCCAUGUCACAGGCCUUACAUUUUAUUUUGAAAGAUUUAUGUAUAUGAGUGUUUUGUCUGAAUGUAUUAUGUGUGUCUACCAUAUGUGUGCCUGGUGCCCACAGAGAUCAGAAGAGGGCAUCAGAUCACUUAGAGCUGGACUUAUAUAUAGAUGGUUGUGAGCUGCCAUGUGGGUGCUGGGAACUGAACCUGGGUCUUCUGCAAGAGCAGCAAGUGCUCUUAACAGAUGAGACAUCUCUCCGGCUCAUAAAAAAUUUAAAACAUCUUAGGGCGUCAUGCCUACUGUGCACGUGGAAGUCAGAGGACAAUUGUGGGGGUCAGUUCUCUCCUCUCACUGUGUGAGUUUCAGGGAUUGAACUCAGGUCUCCAAGCUUGGUGGCAAGCGCCUUUAUUGUAUGAGCCGUUUCACUGGACCUGCCUAUUUCCUUUCCACCUGUCUUCUUUUAACCUAAUUCUUUCUUCAACCAUCCCUAGAAUAUCUUUCCAUUUCAUGUUUUUAAUCUCUCAUUACUCAGAGAGAGAGGAGGGAGGGAAGAUGAGUCACUUGGAGCAUCGGCCCACAGAUGCCGCAGGCAUGAGCUGCACUGAUGCAGCUGAGCAAGUGGUCCCCAAAGCUUUAGUUCUCCAGUUUCACAGACUUCAGGGAGCCCUGGGGGCUCUCCAUCCUGAAAGGAGGUCCCUGAGUACUAAAGUGACCAUGUGUGUGGCUCUAGAUGUGGGAUCCUGGAAGGCAGGUGGGACUCAGGCCCAUGAAUCCCAAAGAAUCUACAAAGAAUGAAUAUUUUUGCAGGCUGGAGUGGCCGGUAUGGCUCCUGCUCCUGAGUCCUCAUUGGGAGAAGGCUCUGGCCUUGGCAGAGGUGGCUCUCCUCCCAGCAAGCCAGGAUUCCGCCGGCUGCUUCAAGCUCCCGCUGCCUUGCCCCUCCCUGCCAUGAUGGACUGUACCACAAACUGUGAGCCAAAAUAAGCCUUUCAUCCUUUGAGUUGCUUCUGUGACAGUUAUUUGCUAGCUUGAGACAGGACCUCACUGUGUAGCCCAGGUUGGCCUGGAAUUCACAGAGACCCACCUGCCUCUGCCUCUCCUGAAUGCUGGGAUUAAAGGCGUGCACCACCAUGCUUAGUAUGUCAGAGUGUUUUGUAACAACAACAGGAAAAUAAAUGAAGACACCAAGGAAUGAAUAAAAUUUCCCCAGAGUGUAGUUCAGAGGCAGUGAGCACCGAUUCAUUGCUGCCAUGGC